UACGUAGGGUGCAAGCGUUGUCCGGAAUUAUUGGGCGUAAAGAGCUCGUAGGCGGUCUGUCGCGUCGGCUGUGAAAUCCAGGAGCUCAACUCCGGGUCUGCAGUCGAUACGGGCAAACUGGAGUACUGCAGGGGAGACUGGAAUUCCUGGUGUAGCGGUGAAAUGCGCAGAUAUCAGGAGGAACACCGGUGGCGAAGGCGGGUCUCUGGGCAGUAACUGACGCUGAGGAGCGAAAGCGUGGGGAGCGAACAGG
RNAcentral lists this ribosomal RNA (253 nucleotides) under uncultured bacterium. Its description in RNAcentral is "partial 16S ribosomal RNA". It matches the Rfam family "Bacterial small subunit ribosomal RNA", at positions 524 to 776 of the family's 1533-position model. The record is from RNAcentral.